AUUGAACGCUGGCGGCAGGCCUAACACAUGCAAGUCGAACGAGUGGCGGACGGGUGAGUAAUGUCUGGGAAACUGCCUGAUGGAGGGGGAUAACUACUGGAAACGGUAGCUAAUACAGCAUACCAUCAGAUGUGCCCAGAUGGGAUUAGCGAGUUGGUGGGGUAACGGCUCCCCAAGGCGAAGAUCCCUAGCUGGUCUGAGAGGAUGACCAGCCACCCUGGAACGGAGACACUGUCCAGACGCCUACGGGAGGCAGCAGUGGGGAAUAUUGCACAAUGGGCGCGAGCCUUAUGCAGCCGUGCCGCGUGUAUGAAGAAGGCCUUCGGGUUGGAAAGUACUUUCAGCGGGGAGGCGUUACCCGCAGAAGAAGCACCGGCUAACUCCGUGCCAGCAGCCGCGGUAAUUC
RNAcentral lists this ribosomal RNA (406 nucleotides) under uncultured bacterium. RNAcentral describes it as "partial 16S ribosomal RNA". It matches the Rfam family "Bacterial small subunit ribosomal RNA", at positions 30 to 526 of the family's 1533-position model. The record is from RNAcentral.